Molecule: long non-coding RNA, 788 nt
Filed under: Brachypodium distachyon (stiff brome)
Lineage: Eukaryota; Viridiplantae; Streptophyta; Magnoliopsida; Poales; Poaceae
Description: long non-coding RNA (BDIS_LNC005488)
Source: RNAcentral
CAACCACCACCGGUUCCUCCGGGUAGUUUUCUUUAUUCAGCUUGGUGACGACCCACGACUCCAUCGGCACCUUGUUCGCCCCCCGCUUGGACUUCGACUGAGUAGUCGACUCCGUAGCCUGAGACGUCGCACCCUGGGCUUCUUCCUCGUUAGUUGUUCCUUCAAGGAGCAGCUGCUCCUCGGCUUCUUUAAGGAUCAGCUGCUCCUCGGCUCCUUCUUCGCUCAUGGCAAUUUCCGAGCCCGAGGAAGAUGCCCCCGCUUCUACUUCGACUUGUCCCUCCACAACCAGUGGCUGCUCAGGCACCUCUUCAACGCGAGCCUGAGGUUCCUAUCCAACACUUAUAAAAGUAAUAUAAAAAAAGAGAAAAAUUCGGCAUGACCUAUGCUGUAAAACAAGAAAAUUUCGGCAUGACCAUUGCUAUAAAACAACAAAUGAGUCUACCCGAAUGUUAUACCUGCAUAAAAAAAACUCCCACCCACAUAUACCCCCUCGGCACGAUGGCCGAACCCUUCUCAACGACCCGGCACGAUAGCCGGGCCCACAUUCCUCAUAUCAACCGACACGACAGUCAGCAUCACAUGCAUGUAUCAAUCUUUGCACCAAGAGCAGCAAUAACAACAAUAUUUAAACAAGAGGCGCCAAAUAAAGAUUUAAACCCUAAAUGGCAAUAUGAAACCAUAAACGGCAAUAUUAAAUCCUAAACAGCAGUAUUAAACCCUAAACAACAAUAUUAAACCCUAAACAACAAUAUUAAACCCUAAAAAGCAUUAUUAAAUCCUAAACCACA